GUUCCUGAGCUAGAAAAAAAGCAGGCAGCAGAAAAAGCGAGAAGGGGAAGAUCAGUGCUGUUUACAAGAAGAGCUAAAGCCUGUCUAGCAUCAUCCACAGAGUGGUUUCCUGUGAAAUUGAGAGUUGAUGCUCCAGCCUGUUUGGAAGGAGGGCUCUGUAAGCAGCACCCUAGUUUGGAGCCAAGGGAUGGGGAGUCUGAUGUGGCUCUGUGUGCACAAGGCAGAGAUCAGCUCCACAGAGGAGUCUUGCUCUAACCUGAAAGGAGCUUCACAGCACAGCAGCACUGAAGAAAACCAGAAAAACUGCAGAGAGAUAAAGAUCCAAUGGAUGAAAGAGCUCCUUUGUCACAAGCAGGAUGCUCAGGAGUGCAGAGGACAGAACAUCUUGGCAUUAGAGCAGCCACUGUGCCCCAACCAUUCGUAAAAGUUUGUGCCAGUGGGUGCACCAGCUUCAGACCAUACACUCUGAGUGAGGAGAGGGCCAGGGGCUGGCAUUUUAAAAAUAGAAAUUAGAAAGUAAAAAAUACAUUUAAAUGAAGUUCAGCCUGACUACUGCUUCUAAGAAAGCAAAGUAUGAGGCUGCAGGUGAGACCAAAAGCUCAUGAGUUUGCACAGUAACAUUUGUCUUGUCUAAAUUACCCAGUAGAAAAUUGUGGUAGUUGCAGACUUACAUACAGAAUAAAAUUUUCCAAUCUAGGUUUUUUCUUCUUAGCCUCUUUCGGUGUGCUAGUCACUAUCAAAAAGUUCCUACCUUGCUGCAUUCAUGUUUUGUAAGAAAAAAAUCAAUUGAUAGUGUGCUGGAUCUGAGUAAAUUUACCCUUUCAGAAAACAGUUUUCUUUAUAGAUUAUAUUUCCAUCCCAAAACUUACUACAGGGAUUUAACACAUCUCCUGUUGUCAUGCUGCACGAAUAACAAGCAAGGAAUGUUGGGGUUUUCCCCAUUUAAUGAUUUAUCUUUGUUUUUACCUUUUUUUGUGAGUGUGUGUAUGCUGUUCCUGGCCUGGUUCUUACACAUUCAGUAGGGGAGUACAAGAGCUGGUAGAUCUAAGUGGUUUUCUGUGCUGCUGUGACAUUUAUUAGCAGGCAAAACCUGUAGCCAUGGUAAAAAUGUGUUCCUUUGCAGAAAUUAUAUGUUACCUCUUAUCCAAGCAGUCUCAUACCUUCUCUUAGGUCAAAGAGGAGAGAGAAAAGUGGGGAUGGGAGGUUUCUUUUUGCAUUCAGGCUCAAGAUAUGUGCAAUGUGAAACGAAAUGAUAUCUAAAAUUUGAGCUAGGGUAAAAGAUCCACUUAAAGGAUGUGUGCUUUUGGAAAGAGUUUUAAUAGAC
Molecule: long non-coding RNA, 1324 nt
Organism: Catharus ustulatus (Swainson's thrush)
Lineage: Eukaryota; Metazoa; Chordata; Aves; Passeriformes; Turdidae
Exons: 3
Source: RefSeq, a predicted model, not a curated record